CGGUCUAUGGAGUUAAUUCAGCUGUUUAAAGCGAUGAAUCAAACCGUGACGGUUCAGAUUUUUAGAACCGUAGACGAAACUGCGCCAUGGAAGACACGGGCAGAGCUUCUAAUUUAUGAUUCGUCUAACUCUUCAUCACGAAACAUCAUUGUUGUGGAAGAGCUUCAGAGAUCGAUGAAGUAUAUGAACCCUAAUUUAAGUUUCAAUUAGAUGAUGAUGAAAGAACGCUACCAGAUCUCAUGUGUGUCUUCAUCGAGGCGGAGAUGAAACUGGUUAACUCUAAUAUCAAAACGCCGCGUAACACCGCUUUACAAUUAGAGUAGUCUGAAUUUAA
Molecule: long non-coding RNA, 334 nt
Filed under: Brassica napus (rape)
Lineage: Eukaryota; Viridiplantae; Streptophyta; Magnoliopsida; Brassicales; Brassicaceae
Description: long non-coding RNA (BNAP_LNC019948)
Source: RNAcentral